Molecule: ribosomal RNA, 551 nt
Filed under: uncultured bacterium
Lineage: Bacteria
Description: bacterial SSU rRNA
Rfam family: Bacterial small subunit ribosomal RNA
Source: RNAcentral
UAGGGAAUCNCUGGCAAUGGACGGAAGUCUGACCGAGCAACGCCGCGUGAGUGAAGAAGGUUUUCGGAUCGUAAAGCUCUGUUGUAAGAGAAGAACGAGUGUGAGAGUGGAAAGUUCACACUGUGACGGUAUCUUACCAGAAAGGGACGGCUAACUACGUGCCAGCAGCCGCGGUAAUACGUAGGUCCCGAGCGUUGUCCGGAUUUAUUGGGCGUAAAGCGAGCGCAGGCGGUUAGAUAAGUCUGAAGUUAAAGGCUGUGGCUUAACCAUAGUACGCUUUGGAAACUGUUUAACUUGAGUGCAAGAGGGGGGAGUGGAAUUCCAUGUGUAGCGGUGAAAUGCGUAGAUAUAUGGAGGAACACCGGUGGCGAAAGCGGCUCUCUGGCUUGUAACUGACGCUGAGGCUCGAAAGCGUGGGGAGCAAACAGGAUUAGAUACCCUGGUAGUCCACGCUGUAAACGAUGAGUGCUAGGUGUUAGACCCUUUCCGGGGUUUAGUGCCGUAGCUAACGCAUUAAGCACUCCGCCUGGGGAGUACGACCGCAAGGUUGA